This 983-nucleotide long non-coding RNA is filed under the name Homo sapiens (human). RNAcentral's name for it is "non-protein coding lnc-PAGR1-2:7". The record is from RNAcentral. Lineage: Eukaryota; Metazoa; Chordata; Mammalia; Primates; Hominidae.
ACUUGAGCCCAGGAGUUUGAAGCUGCAGUGACCCCAGAUUGCACCACUGUCCUCCAGCCUGGGCAAUAGAGCAAGACCCUUUCUCAAAAAUGAAAAAGAACAUUCUGGAGAGACAGAGAAGCAAGAGGGACCAGAAAGGUGCUUGAGAUAUUUUGCAGACCCUGCACUUGAUGGAUCAGCUGGCACCACCCAGAUCAAUAAACUGGCUCAUCUGAUCUUGUGGCCCCCACCCAGAACUGACUCUGCAAGAAGACAGCUCUGACUCCUGAUGAUUUCAUCUCUGACCAAUCUGCACUCCCAGAUCCCAGCACUUUGGGAGGACCAGACAGGCAGAUCACAAGGUCAGGAUGAGAGGUGACAGCGUGCUGGCAGCCCUCACUCACUCUGGGCGCCUCCUCGGCCUCCACGCCAACUCUCCCUGCGCUUGAGGAGCCCUUCAGCCCGCCGCUGCACUGUGGGAGCCCCUCUCUGGGCUGGCCGAGGCGGGAGCCCGCUCCCUCUGCUUGCCAGAGGUGUGGAGGGAGAGGCGCGGACGGGAACUGGGGCUGCGGGCCACGCUCGAGGGCCAGCAUGAGUUCCGGGUGGGCGUGGGCUCGGUGGGCCCCGCACUCAGAGAGGCCGGCUGGCGCCAUUGGCCCCAGGCAGUGAGGGGCUUAGCACCCAGACCAGCAGCUGCAGAGGGUGCGCCAGGUCCCCCAGCAGUGCCAGCCCACAGGUGCACUUGAAUUCUCGCAGGCCUCAGCUGCCUCCCCACGGGGCAGGGCUUGGGACCUGCAGCCCGCCAUGCCCAAGCGUCCCCCUGCCUGGGCUCCUGCACCGCCCCCUGCUCUGCGGGGCCUGGUCCCAUCAACCGCCCAAGGGCUGAGGAGUGCAGGCACAGGAUUGGUGGGCAGCUCCACCUGCAGCCCAGGUGCUAGGUCCACUAGGUGAAGCCAGCUGGGCUCUUGAGUCUAGUGGGCACUUGGAGAACCUUUAUGUCUAGC